UAAGUGGCCGAGAUCUUGAUUCUUAAUUAGUCAGAAUAUAAGAAUUCAUCUCACUGUGAUCCUGUUCAAUACACGAAGGUACUAGCAUAAAUAAAUAGCCAAGACAAACUAUUUAUCCAUUUAUGCUACAAUCUAAACCAGCAACUCGUCCAUAGUUGCCUCGAUUGUGAACUCAAUUUAUAUCUCAACUUUUUCCAAUUAUAUGAUCUUUUGUGAUCUACAACACACCAUAUAAUCUAUAGUAUGAGAUAAAUUGGACUAUAAUAGGAUUAUGCAAUAACAAUAUUUCAGAUAGAAGAAUCACAGUGAACUAAGGAAUCAAUGUAUACAAGCAUAAAGUCUUGCUUUCAGUAUACAACCCUUCAUUUACGAUAUGAGAGCGAGUGAGACGGAGUGUAGAAAUGAGAAGUAAUGUAAUAUUACUAAGAUAGAAUGAUAUUCUUAGUAAGGAAGUUUCUGACUGAUUCCUUUUGUUUUACCCCAUGAACUAUAUUCGAUGUUAUGAUAUCUGAAGAUGCGAGCAGAGGACGGAAGUGAGUCCACCCCGAACGCUACGAGAGUAAGCUAGGACAUCAGGUGGGCAUUAUUUUUACUAUACGUAUAUAGAGAUCCCCUGCGUAUCGUAGGCCUCUUAUACGAAAUGAAAUAAAUGAUGUGAUUUAACUGUCAAUUUCAGUUUGAUGAAAAUUAUUACUGUUGAUGAUGUUUAUGAGUCUGAUAAAUAUUUUGAGAUUUAUUGAUGUUGAACUAAUUGACUUGCCAAGUUUUGAUGACGACGAGCCUGUAUGUCACCCUCUACUGAUGAGACGAAUUCGGGUCCUGCCACAAGCGGGAUUGUGUACACAGAGGUGACCGUGAGCUGUCCUUCGGGUCGGCUGGUCACGGUACUUGAGAAUGAGGCCUACUUCUCAGCACCUUAAAUGAUGAUGAUUUGUAGAUGUGGAUAAGCGAGGAGGGAGAUUGGACUGGUGCUGGCAGGGAUUUUGUUUUGGAUGAUCGUCAUUGUACCAUAAUUAUAUUCCUUGCAGUAACAUCAAGAUGUUGAGGUUUAUUUUGAACUUAAUCAAGAAAUUUACUCCUGGCUAUAUGUCUUCAUACAUAUAGUCUGUUCGCAUUUUGCUGCGAUACUCUGUAUAUCCCAAGUCAUUGUGAGUAAUUAGCUAUGUCUACUUUGUAAAGGUUGACAAGAAUAUCGAUGAUUUAAAAGUUAUAAAGCCAAUAAUAUUUUUAUU
Molecule: long non-coding RNA, 1232 nt
Organism: Salvia miltiorrhiza (redroot sage)
Lineage: Eukaryota; Viridiplantae; Streptophyta; Magnoliopsida; Lamiales; Lamiaceae
Exons: 2
Source: RefSeq, a predicted model, not a curated record